This 253-nucleotide ribosomal RNA is filed under the name uncultured bacterium. Its description in RNAcentral is "partial 16S ribosomal RNA". It matches the Rfam family "Bacterial small subunit ribosomal RNA", at positions 524 to 776 of the family's 1533-position model. The record is from RNAcentral.
UACGUAGGGUGCAAGCGUUAAUCGGAAUUACUGGGCGUAAAGCGUGCGCAGGCGGUGAUGUAAGACAGAUGUGAAAUCCCUCGGCUUAACCGGGGAACUGCAUCUGAUACUGGAUGGCUUGAGUUCGGGAGAGGGAUGCGGAAUUCCAGGUGUAGCGGUGAAAUGCGUAGAUAUCUGGAGGAACACCGGUGGCGAAGGCGGCAUCCUGGACCGGCACUGACGCUGAGGAGCGAAAGCCAGGGGAGCAAACGGG